GGAGAAAUGGCAGAGCGGUCGAAUGCGGCGGUCUUGAAAACCGUUGUCCGUUCACGCGGACCGGGGGUUCGAAUCCCUCUUUCUCCGCAA
RNAcentral lists this transfer RNA (90 nucleotides) under Bacteroidota bacterium. RNAcentral describes it as "Bacteroidetes bacterium tRNA-Ser". It matches the Rfam family "tRNA". Rfam says of the family: Transfer RNA (tRNA) molecules are approximately 80 nucleotides in length. Lineage: Bacteria; Pseudomonadati; Bacteroidota. The record is from RNAcentral.